ACGGGUGAGUAAAGCCUAGGAAUCUGCCUGGUAGUGGGGGAUAACGUUCGGAAACGGACGCUAAUACCGCAUACGUCCUACGGGAGAAAGCAGGGGACCUUCGGGCCUUGCGCUAUCAGAUGAGCCUAGGUCGGAUUAGCUAGUUGGUGAGGUAAUGGCUCACCAAGGCGACGAUCCGUAACUGGUCUGAGAGGAUGAUCAGUCACACUGGAACUGAGACACGGUCCAGACUCCUACGGGAGGCAGCAGUGGGGAAUAUUGGACAAUGGGCGAAAGCCUGAUCCAGCCAUGCCGCGUGUGUGAAGAAGGUCUUCGGAUUGUAAAGCACUUUAAGUUGGGAGGAAGGGCAUUAACCUAAUACGUUAGUGUUUUGACGUUACCGACAGGAUAAGCACCGGCUAACUCUGUGCCAGCAGCCGCGGUAAUACAGAGGGUGCAAGCGUUAAUCGGAAUUACUGGGCGUAAAGCGCGCGUAGGUGGUCUGUUAAGUUGGAUGUGAAAUCCCCGGGCUCAACCUGGGAACUGCAUUCAAAACUGACUGACUAGAGUAUGGUAGAGGGUGGUGGAAUUUCCUGUGUAGCGGUGA
Molecule: ribosomal RNA, 586 nt
Filed under: uncultured Pseudomonas sp.
Lineage: Bacteria; Pseudomonadati; Pseudomonadota; Gammaproteobacteria; Pseudomonadales; Pseudomonadaceae
Description: bacterial SSU rRNA
Rfam family: Bacterial small subunit ribosomal RNA
Source: RNAcentral